AGUGAACGCUGGCGGUAGGCCUAACACAUGCCAGUCGAACGGCAGCACAGUAAGAGCUUGCUCUUACGGGUGGCGAGUGGCGGACGGGUGAGGAAUACAUCGGAAUCUACUUUUUCGUGGGGGAUAACGUAGGGAAACUUACGCUAAUACCGCAUACGACCUACGGGUGAAAGCAGGGGAUCUUCGGACCUUGCGCGAAUGAAUGAGCCGAUGUCGGAUUAGCUAGUUGGCGGGGUAAAGGCCCACCAAGGCGACGAUCCGUAGCUGGUCUGAGAGGAUGAUCAGCCACACUGGAACUGAGACACGGUCCAGACUCCUACGGGAGGCAGCAGUGGGGAAUAUUGGACAAUGGGCGCAAGCCUGAUCCAGCCAUACCGCGUGGGUGAAGAAGGCCUUCUGGUUGUAAAGCCCUUUUGUUGGGAAAGAAAAGCAGCAGGUUAAUACCCCGCUGUUCUGACGGUACCCAAAGAAUAAGCACCGGCUAACUUCGUG
This 492-nucleotide ribosomal RNA is filed under the name uncultured bacterium. RNAcentral's name for it is "partial 16S ribosomal RNA". It matches the Rfam family "Bacterial small subunit ribosomal RNA", at positions 29 to 507 of the family's 1533-position model. The record is from RNAcentral.